UACGAAGGGGGCUAGCGUUGCUCGGAAUCACUGGGCGUAAAGCGCACGUAGGCGGCUUUUUAAGUCAGGGGUGAAAUCCUGGAGCUCAACUCCAGAACUGCCUUUGAUACUGGAAAGCUCGAGUCCGGAAGAGGUGAGUGGAACUGCGAGUGUAGAGGUGAAAUUCGUAGAUAUUCGCAAGAACACCAGUGGCGAAGGCGGCUCACUGGCCCGGUACUGACGCUGAGGUGCGAAAGCGUGGGGAGCAAACAGG
This 253-nucleotide ribosomal RNA is filed under the name uncultured bacterium. Its description in RNAcentral is "partial 16S ribosomal RNA". It matches the Rfam family "Bacterial small subunit ribosomal RNA", at positions 524 to 776 of the family's 1533-position model. The record is from RNAcentral.